This 468-nucleotide ribosomal RNA is filed under the name uncultured bacterium. Its description in RNAcentral is "partial 16S ribosomal RNA". It matches the Rfam family "Bacterial small subunit ribosomal RNA", at positions 28 to 507 of the family's 1533-position model. The record is from RNAcentral.
GACGAACGCUGGCGGCGUGCUUAACACAUGCAAGUCGAACGGAAAGGCCCUGCUUUUGUGGGGUGCUCGAGUGGCGAACGGGUGAGUAACACGUGAGUAACCUGCCCUUGACUUUGGGAUAACUUCAGGAAACUGGGGCUAAUACCGGAUAGGAGCUCCUGCUGCAUGGUGGGGGUUGGAAAGUUUCGGCGGUUGGGGAUGGACUCGCGGCUUAUCAGCUUGUUGGUGGGGUAGUGGCUUACCAAGGCUUUGACGGGUAGCCGGCCUGAGAGGGUGACCGGCCACAUUGGGACUGAGAUACGGCCCAGACUCCUACGGGAGGCAGCAGUGGGGAAUAUUGCACAAUGGGCGGAAGCCUGAUUCAGCAACGCCGCGUGCGGGAUUACGGCCUUCGGGUUGUAAACCGCUUUCGCCUGGGACGAAGCGUGAGUGACGGUAAUGGGUAAAGAAGCACCGGCUAACUACGUG